CACGCCGUAAACUAUGGAUGCUAGCUGUUACUCACAUCGACCUGAGUAGUAGCGAAGUUAACGCGUUAAGCAUCCCGCCUGGGGAGUACGGUCGCAAGAUUAAAACUCAAAGGAAUUGACGGGGACCCGCACAAGCGGUGGAGCGUGUUGUUUAAUUCGAUGGUAAGCGAAGAACCUUACCAAGGCUUGAAAUCUCUGGAAGUCUGCUGAAAGGCGGAUGUGCCUUCGGGAACCAGAUGACAGGUGC
Molecule: ribosomal RNA, 247 nt
Filed under: uncultured bacterium
Lineage: Bacteria
Description: partial 16S ribosomal RNA
Rfam family: Bacterial small subunit ribosomal RNA
Source: RNAcentral